CCCGCCACUAUGCCCGUCUGUCACGGUGACUGAGUAUAAUCCAGUGGAGGCUCAGAGUGCCCAGCUUUAGGAAACAGGGCUGCCCCAACAUGUGGACAACUCUGUGCCAAAGUCUGGAACAGAU
Molecule: small nucleolar RNA, 124 nt
Filed under: Larimichthys crocea (large yellow croaker)
Lineage: Eukaryota; Metazoa; Chordata; Actinopteri; Sciaenidae
Description: Small nucleolar RNA SNORA65 (ENSLCRG00005003060.1)
Rfam family: Small nucleolar RNA SNORA65
About the family: U65 belongs to the H/ACA class of snoRNAs which are thought to guide the sites of modification of uridines to pseudouridines.
Source: RNAcentral